Long non-coding RNA from Corticium candelabrum, 1533 nucleotides. RefSeq lists it as uncharacterized. The transcript is spliced from 3 exons. NCBI's taxonomy places the organism in Eukaryota, Metazoa, Porifera, Homoscleromorpha, Homosclerophorida, Plakinidae. The record is from RefSeq and is a predicted model, not a curated record.
ACACAAUCUUUAGAUUCAUUGACCAUUGAAUUAAAAGGCUGGAACACGACGCACCACAUGGACGUUCGUCGCACGUCAUGAAGCUAGACAGUUGCAGCAAUGCAACGAAGCGGACAUACUCCAGCUGUGCAGACAGGAAACAGCAGAGUAACUUGCUUGAACUCCACAGGAAUAUACAAGUGCCUAGAGAUAAGUAAACGCAUGCAGAUAAACAUGAAAAUGAAAACAGCAAGAAUAGGAACUAAUUUGUAUGCAAAAGAGUGAAUAAACAUAAUGAGAGGUAACAUAGUGACCUCUAAAGGGAGUGUGGGAUGUCACAGUGAAACUAUUUGUUACUUAUGCAUCAGUAUCUUAGAAUAUAAUUUGUCGUCUGUGCAUGUGUGCAUGAAAUCAGUGUUGGACAUGCAGAUUUUCUUGAGAUACGAUUGUGUUGAUGAUGAAAGAAGAGUGGAGAGAAUUGAAAUGGUGGGUCAGAGAGUGUGAACAAACAAGACGGUGACCAUUAAUGACUAGGCAUCAAACAGACAAACAAACAGACAGACAAUGAUCAGAAGCUACCAACUAUUUAAACAAAUUAGCCAGACCAUCAAAAGACAUUGAAAGCUAUACAAAUGAAGCUAACUUUAGAGAUUUUUGGAGGAUAAUAUUACAGCGAUGUAAUGCUAAAGUCAUCCUCCACAAGCUGACUCGUGUCUUCCCUGGAGAGGUAGAUGAGAACAUAUACGAUAGAGACUAUCAAAGUAGUUGGUAUUAAACUAAAGCUGAACUCAGUAGCUUGUUUGCAUUUAGUGUUAGAAAUGUAACGUAGAGUUUGUGUUUAAAUGAAGACAGACAGACAGACAGACAAACAGACAGACAGACAGACAUGAUGGCGUCGGCCGUUUGGGCCAGACUAGAAUGUAGUAUUGUUCUUUGAAAAUAUAUGUAUUGACAGACAGACAGACAGACAGGCAGACAGACGGACAAACAGACAACCAGACAGACAGACAGACAAACAGAUAGACAAACAGACAGACAAACAGACAGACAGGCACACAGAUGGACAGACAGACAGACAGAGAAACAGGCACACAGAUGGACAGACAGACAGACAGAGAAACAGACAGAGAAACAGAUAGACAGACAGACAGACAAACAGACAAACAAACAGAUGAAUAAACAAACAAAUAAAUGAACAACCAGACAAACAAACAAACAGACCAACAGACAGACAGACAAACAAACAGACAUACAGAGACAAACAGGCAGACAAACAAACAAGCACACAGACAACCGAAGUAGCAUGCAAGCAAGCAGUCACACUUGGUUCAAUUACCAAGAUCCGUUUACAAAGCCAUUCAAUACAAAAUCACAAACCACAACUCAUCAAAAAGAAAAACAGAAUAAAUAAUCAACAGCAAGCAAAUAGGCGAGUAACACACACACUAACCACUCACUACCCAAUCCAAUAAGCAAGCAAGCACACAGUCCCACUCGGACUGAUGUGCCACAAACUGGCACCACAAAAAUACAAAAAGUGAAAAACAGUGACAC